AUCGGGAAAAGUUUUCUAAUAAUUUGACCUUAGCCUUCCAAGCUAAUGAUGCGAGUUCGAUUCUCGCCGCCCGCUU
RNAcentral lists this transfer RNA (76 nucleotides) under Candidatus Altimarinota bacterium. RNAcentral's name for it is "tRNA-Gly". The record is from RNAcentral. RNAcentral also lists the same sequence under 1 other name. Lineage: Bacteria; Candidatus Altimarinota.